RNAcentral lists this ribosomal RNA (464 nucleotides) under uncultured bacterium. RNAcentral's name for it is "partial 16S ribosomal RNA". It matches the Rfam family "Bacterial small subunit ribosomal RNA", at positions 29 to 507 of the family's 1533-position model. The record is from RNAcentral.
ACGAACGCUGGCGGCGUGCUUAACACAUGCAAGUCGAACGGAAAGGCCCUGCUUGCAGGGUACUCGAGUGGCGAACGGGUGAGUAACACGUGGGUGAUCUGCCCUGCACUUCGGGAUAAGCCUGGGAAACUGGGUCUAAUACCGGAUAGGAGCCAUUUUUAGUGUGAUGGUUGGAAAGUUUUUUCGGUGUAGGAUGAGCUCGCGGCCUAUCAGCUUGUUGGUGGGGUAAUGGCCUACCAAGGCGGCGACGGGUAGCCGGCCUGAGAGGGUGGACGGCCACAUUGGGACUGAGAUACGGCCCAGACUCCGACGGGAGGCAGCAGCGGGGAAUAUUGCACAAUGGGCGCAAGCCUGAUGCAGCGACGCCGCGUGGGGGAUGACGGCCUUCGGGUUGUAAACUCCUUUCGCUAGGGACGAAGCUUUUUGUGACGGUACCUAGAGAAGAAGCACCGGCUAACUACGUG